Molecule: ribosomal RNA, 497 nt
Filed under: uncultured bacterium
Lineage: Bacteria
Description: partial 16S ribosomal RNA
Rfam family: Bacterial small subunit ribosomal RNA
Source: RNAcentral
GAUGAACGCUGGCGGCGUGCCUAAUACAUGCAAGUCGAGCGAACAGACCCGGAGUUUGCUCCUCUGACGUUAGCGGCGCACGGGUGAGUAACACGUGUAUAACCUACCUAUAAUACUGGGAUAACUUCGGGAAACCGGAUCUAACCCCGUAUAAUAUAUUGCUCCGCAUGGUUCAAUAGUGAAAUUCGGUGUUGCGGUCUCUUAUCGAUGGAUCCGCGCGUCAUGAGCUAGUUGGUAAGUUACCGGCUUACCAAGGCGACGAUGCGUAGCCGAGCGGAGAGGGUGAUCGGCCACCCUGGAACUGAGACACGGUCAAUGCUACUGCGGGAAGCAGCAGUAGGGAAUCUUCCGCAGUGGGCGAAAGCUUGACGGAACGACGGGGCGUGAGUGAUGGAGAUCUUCGGAUCGUAAAACUCUGUUAUUAGGGAAAAACAAAUGUGUAAGUAACUAUGCACGUAUUGACGGUACCUAGUCAGAAAGCCACGGCUAACUACGUG